CCUCAUCAUCGCGUGGAGGCGCGAUCCUCCGCAGUGCCCCGCCCACUCACAGCCAACCUUAAGGGGACCGUCGCGGGUGGGUGGUGUCCAACGCGCAUGUGCGCGGGCGGCGCCUGGCUAGGCGGGAAGGAAGGCUGGCAGUCGAGGGCUGCCGAGCAGCCGUCUCGCGCCUGGGUUCUGGCCGCGGGAGUCGAAGCUCGAGCGCUAGCAGCACCCCGGGGCGUCACCUUGCCCUGAUAGGCCCGUGGCCUGCCACAGGGCUUGGUCGGGCCGGGCCUGAGGAGAGCUGGCCUCGCCCCUCGCAGCCGCGCCGCUCAGCCCGGAAGCUACCGACAGAGAUGGGGGCAGGAGGCACGCCUAGCACAGGAAGCCGGAGUCCAAGGUCAGGAUCGCCUCUAGAAGGAACAGCAGCACCAGAAGGAGAGAGAGGCCGAUCAUCAGUCGGAGAGUCAUCUCGAGAUGGAGGGGCCUUUUUGCAGUGAGAAGCAUGGGUCCAGGCAGUCAGUCCUUAGCACUUCAUAGCGGUGUUGGUAGUUAACAGGAUUUGGCUGUCCUGUAGAAGAAUUAAACACAACACAAGAGAAAAGACAAAGCCACAAGACAAAACACCACAAGGACAUAGAACACAAAACAC
Molecule: non-coding RNA, 634 nt
Organism: Caretta caretta (loggerhead turtle)
Lineage: Eukaryota; Metazoa; Chordata; Testudines; Cheloniidae
Source: RefSeq, a predicted model, not a curated record